CCGAGCCGCCCGCACCGGCAGACGCCGCAGCCCCCGCCGCGCCCGCAGAAGCGGCAGCCUAACGACUUCACCAGGACUUCACCAGGACACGCGACCAACAAUUCACCGAAAAAUUUCCUCCUUCCUUGUGAAACAAUUCCCCGACUGAUAAUCGCACCCCAUUCCAUAUGCAUCUGCCAGACCCAAGGUCUGACCUGACAUCGCCCAAAACCAACCCCCGGAGAGUCUCUCUCAUUGUCAAGCAUUCUAGAAGCUUUCGGACGAACCGCAGGUUCCCUCUUGACUUGAACAGAUAACCUCUGAGAGCAAAUAAAGAAUCUAGUUUCCAGCGUGAGAACGAACCCGA
This is a long non-coding RNA of Thrips palmi, 346 nucleotides long. RefSeq lists it as uncharacterized. Lineage: Eukaryota; Metazoa; Arthropoda; Insecta; Thysanoptera; Thripidae. The record is from RefSeq and is a predicted model, not a curated record. The transcript is spliced from 2 exons.